This 241-nucleotide ribosomal RNA is filed under the name uncultured bacterium. Its description in RNAcentral is "partial 16S ribosomal RNA". It matches the Rfam family "Bacterial small subunit ribosomal RNA", at positions 524 to 764 of the family's 1533-position model. The record is from RNAcentral.
UACGUAGGGUGCAAACGUUGCUCGGAAUCAUUGGGCGUAAAGCGCGCGCAGGUGGUCCUUUAAGUCUGAUGUGAAAGCCCACGGCUCAACCGUGGAGGGUCAUUGGAAACUGGGGGACUUGAGUGCAGAAGAGGAUAGUGGAAUUCCAAGUGUAGCGGUGAAAUGCGUAGGGAUUUGGAGGAACACCAGUGGCGAAGGCGGACUAUCUGGUCUGUAACUGACACUGAGGCGCGAAGCGUGG